UAUCACUAAGCGGAGCAAACGGGUCCCUGCCUUGCCCUAGGUUGGUAACUUGAAGGAACCCUGUCUUGGAUUUGGCCUUUCGUCUAUGUUCCUUGGAACAGGACGUCACAGAGGGUGAGAAUCCCGUGCGAUGAGGUGUCCAUUUCUAUGUAAGAUGUUUUCGAAGAGUCGAGUUGUUUGGGAAUGCAGCUCUAAGUGGGUGGUAAAUUCCAUCUAAAGCUAAAUAUUGGCGAGAGACCGAUAGCGAACAAGUACAGUGAUGGAAAGAUGAAAAGAACUUUGAAAAGAGAGUGAAAAAGUACGUGAAAUUGUUGAAAGGGAAGGGUAUUAGAUCAGACUUGGUAUUUAGUUAUCAUUACUCCUUGUGGGUGGUGCUCUAACUUUUUACUGGGCCACCAUCAGUUUUGGUGGCAGGAUAAUGACAUUUGAAUGUGGCUCCUCGGAGUGUUAUAGCUUUUGUUGAUACUGCCUAGCGCGACUGAGGUCUGCGGCUUUUGCCUANGGAUGCUGGACGUAAUGAUCCAAUUAC
RNAcentral lists this ribosomal RNA (529 nucleotides) under Ogataea piceae. Its description in RNAcentral is "eukaryotic LSU rRNA". It matches the Rfam family "Eukaryotic large subunit ribosomal RNA", at positions 41 to 646 of the family's 3401-position model. The record is from RNAcentral. Lineage: Eukaryota; Fungi; Ascomycota; Pichiomycetes; Pichiales; Pichiaceae.